RNAcentral lists this small RNA (359 nucleotides) under uncultured Diversispora. RNAcentral describes it as "SSU rRNA". It matches the Rfam family "Eukaryotic small subunit ribosomal RNA", at positions 569 to 930 of the family's 1831-position model. The record is from RNAcentral. Lineage: Eukaryota; Fungi; Glomeromycota; Glomeromycetes; Diversisporales; Diversisporaceae.
AGCAGCCGCGGUAAUUCCAGCUCCAAUAGCGUAUAUUAAAGUUGUUGCAGUUAAAAAGCUCGUAGUUGAACUUCGGGGUUUACCCAUUGGUCAGGCUUAAUUGUCUGUACUGGUGAGAUGAAUCUCUACCUUCUGAGGAACUUUCAUGCCAUUUAUUUGGUGUGAUUGGAAAUCAGGACUAUUACUUUGAAAAAAUUAGAGUGUUUAAAGCAGGCUAACGUCUGAAUAUAUUAGCAUGGAAUAAUGAAAUAGGACGGCUUGGUUCUAUUUCGUUGGUUUCUAGGAUCACCGUAAUGAUUAAUAGGGAUAGUUGGGGGCAUUAGUAUUCAAUUGUCAGAGGUGAAAUUCUUGGAUUUAUU